CGGCACCCCUCCUCGGAGGGAAGCGAGUGGCGAACGGCUGAGUAACACGUGGAGAACCCGCCCCCUCCUCCGGGAUAGCCUCGGGAAACCGUGGGUAAUACCGGAUGACCCCGCAGGGCCGCAUGGCCCCGCGGGCAAAGCCCAGACGGGAGGGGAUGGCUCCGCGGCCCAUCAGGUAGACGGCGGGGUGACGGCCCACCGUGCCGACGACGGGUAGCCGGGUUGAGAGACCGACCGGCCAGAUUGGGACUGAGACACGGCCCAG
RNAcentral lists this ribosomal RNA (265 nucleotides) under uncultured bacterium. RNAcentral describes it as "partial 16S ribosomal RNA". It matches the Rfam family "Bacterial small subunit ribosomal RNA", at positions 67 to 334 of the family's 1533-position model. The record is from RNAcentral.